UGGGGAAAUUGGCACAAUGGGCGAAAGCCUGAAUGCAGCAACGCCGCGUGAGUGAUGAAGGCCUUCGGGCUGUGAAAGCAUCUGUCUUUUGGGACGAUAAUGACGUACCAAAGGAGGAAGCCACGCUAACUACGUGCCAGCAGCCGCGGUAAUACGUAGGUGGCAAGCGUUGUCCGGAUUUACGGGCGUAAAGGAUGCGUAGGCGGAUUUUUAAGUGAGAUGUGAAAUACCCGGGCUUAACUUGGGUGCUGCAUUUCAAACUGGGAAUCUAUAGUGCGGGAGAGGAGAAUGGAAUUCCUAGUGUAGCGGUGAAAUGCGUAGAGAUUAGGAAGAACACCAGUGGCGAAGGCGAUUCUCUGGACCGUAACUGACGCUGAGGCAUGAAAGCGUGGGUAGCAAACAGGAUUAGAUACCCUGGUAGUCCACGCCGUAAACGAUGAGUACUAGGUGUAGGAGGUAUCGACCCCUUCUGUGCCGCAGUUAACACAAUAAGUACUCCGCCUGGGAAGUACGAUCGCAAGAUUAAAACUCAAAUGAAUUGACGGGGUCAUAGCUGUUUUCCU
This 563-nucleotide ribosomal RNA is filed under the name uncultured bacterium. RNAcentral's name for it is "partial 16S ribosomal RNA". It matches the Rfam family "Bacterial small subunit ribosomal RNA", at positions 355 to 1375 of the family's 1533-position model. The record is from RNAcentral.